CCAGCACCCGCGGUAAUUCCAGCUCCAAUAGCGUAUAUUAAAGUUGUUGCAGUUAAAAAGCUCGUAGUUGGAUUUCUGGCAGGAGCGACCGGUCUCACACCCUGUGUGAGAACUCGUGUUGUCUCUGGCCAUCCUUGGGGAGAUCCUGUUUGGCAUUCAGUUGUCGGGCAGGGGAUACCCAUCGUUUACUGUGAAAAAAUUAGAGUGUUUAAAGCAGGCUUAUGCCGUUGAAUAUAUUAGCAUGGAAUAAUAAGAUAGGUCUUUGGUACUAUUUUGUUGGUUUGCGCACCAGAGAAAUGAUUAAUAGGGACAGUUGGGGCUAUUCGUAUUCCAUUGUCAGAGGUGAAAUUCUUGGAUUUCUGGAAGACGAACUACUGCGAAAGCAUUUAGCAAGGAUGUUUUCAUUAAUCAAGAACGAAAGU
This 422-nucleotide ribosomal RNA is filed under the name uncultured Thalassiosira. Its description in RNAcentral is "SSU rRNA". It matches the Rfam family "Eukaryotic small subunit ribosomal RNA", at positions 567 to 990 of the family's 1831-position model. Lineage: Eukaryota; Bacillariophyta; Thalassiosirophyceae; Thalassiosirales; Thalassiosiraceae. The record is from RNAcentral.